RNAcentral lists this ribosomal RNA (305 nucleotides) under uncultured bacterium. Its description in RNAcentral is "bacterial SSU rRNA". It matches the Rfam family "Bacterial small subunit ribosomal RNA", at positions 337 to 639 of the family's 1533-position model. The record is from RNAcentral.
UCCUACGGGGGGCAGCAGUGAGGAAUAUUGGUCAAUGGGCGGGAGCCUGAACCAGCCACUUCUCUUUCUUUCAGACGGUCCUAUGGAUUGUAAACCUCUUUAGGCGGGGAGCAAUGCCGGGCACGCGUGCCCGGAGGGAGAGUACCCGCAGAAUAAGCAUCGGCUAACUCCGUGCCAGCAGCCGCGGUAAUACGGAGGAUGCGAGCGUUAUCCGGAUUUAUUGGGUUUAAAGGGUGCGUAGGCGGAUUUUUAAGUCAGCGGUAAAAUGUCCGGGCUCAACCCGGGCCGGCCGUUGAAACUGGGGG